GCGAUUGCUGACGCGAGGGACAUUACCGAGUUUACAACUCCCAAACCCAAUGUGAACGUUACCAAACUGUUGCCUCGGCGGGGUCACGCCCCGGGUGCGUCGCAGCCCCGGAACCAGGCGCCCGCCGGAGGAACCAACCAAACUCUUUCUGUAGUCCCCUCGCGGACGUAUUUCUUUACAGCUCUGAGCAAAAAUUCAAAAUGAAUCAAAACUUUCAACAACGGAUCUCUUGGUUCUGGCAUCGAUGAAGAACGCAGCGAAAUGCGAUAAGUAAUGUGAAUUGCAGAAUUCAGUGAAUCAUCGAAUCUUUGAACGCACAUUGCGCCCGCCAGUAUUCUGGCGGGCAUGCCUGUCCGAGCGUCAUUUCAACCCUCGAACCCCUCCGGGGGAUCGGCGUUGGGGAUCGGGACCCCUCACACGGGCGCCGGCCCCUAAAUACAGUGGCGGUCUCGCCGCAGCCUCUCCUGCGCAGUAGUUUGCACAACUCGCACCGGGAGCGCGGCGCGUCCACGUCCGUAAAACACCCAACUUUCUGAAAUGUUGACCUCGGAUCAGGUAGGAAUACCCGCUGAACUUAAGCAUAUCAAUAAAGCGGAGGA
RNAcentral lists this ribosomal RNA (599 nucleotides) under Trichoderma asperellum. RNAcentral describes it as "eukaryotic LSU rRNA". The stretch from base 210 to 363 matches the Rfam family "5.8S ribosomal RNA". The record is from RNAcentral. Lineage: Eukaryota; Fungi; Ascomycota; Sordariomycetes; Hypocreales; Hypocreaceae.